Molecule: ribosomal RNA, 426 nt
Filed under: uncultured prokaryote
Description: bacterial SSU rRNA
Rfam family: Bacterial small subunit ribosomal RNA
Source: RNAcentral
UGGGGAAUCUUGCGCAAUGGGCGGAAGCCUGACGCAGCAACGCCGCGUGAGCGAAGACGGCCUUCGGGUUGUAAAGCUCUGUCAGGAGGGACGAAGCCACUCGGGUGAAUAGCCUAGAGGGUGACGGUACCUCCAGAGGAAGCCCCGGCUAACUACGUGCCAGCAGCCGCGGUAAUACGUAGGGGGCGAGCGUUGUCCGGAAUCAUUGGGCGUAAAGCGCGUGUAGGCGGCCAUGCAAGUCCGAUGUGAAAGCUCGGGGCUCAACUCCGAGUCUGCAUUGGAAACUGCGUGGCUUGAGUCCGGAAGAGGAGACUGGAAUUCCUGGUGUAGCGGUGAAAUGCGCAGAUAUCAGGAAGAACACCGGUGGCGAAGGCGGGUCUCUGGGACGGUACUGACGCUGAGACGCGAAAGCGUGGGGAGCAAACA